RNAcentral lists this long non-coding RNA (242 nucleotides) under Mytilus galloprovincialis (Mediterranean mussel). Lineage: Eukaryota; Metazoa; Mollusca; Bivalvia; Mytilida; Mytilidae. The record is from RNAcentral.
CUGCGCUUUCUCAAUGAAAUUUUUACAGUGUGUUGUACUACUUUUGGGACAAAUUAUAUCGAAAUUAUAGAAAACUUCAUCGGCUCUAACUCAAAAUAUGGACAAUUUUAUGUUUAGGGCGUCUUUAAAUCUUUUGACAGCUUCCGAAGUGCUGAUUUUUAACCUUUUUCAGCUGGACCAAAUCACUACUUUCCUUUAAAAUUCUGGACCCAAUUUUUUUUACAGUGUAAUUUCACCCCCCU